RNAcentral lists this unclassified non-coding RNA (246 nucleotides) under uncultured fungus. Its description in RNAcentral is "sequence contains ITS1, 5.8S rRNA gene". The stretch from base 198 to 246 matches the Rfam family "5.8S ribosomal RNA", at positions 1 to 49 of the family's 154-position model. Lineage: Eukaryota; Fungi. The record is from RNAcentral.
UUUCCGUAGGUGAACCUGCGGAAGGAUCAUUAACGAAACUAUUAGGAGGGCGCUUUUUAGCGACUCCGAACCUUUCAUUCCACACACCCGUGCACUGGUAGUCGGCAAAGUCUGGUUCAAUCCGGACGGCGCCUGUCUACGUUUUUAUAUGCGCCCAAUGUAAAAAGGAUGUAUUUUAUACAAAACAAAAAGAAACAAACUUUCAACAACGGAUCUCUUGGCUCUCGCAUCGAUGAAGAACGCAGC